GACGUAGGGCGCGAGCGUUGUCCGGAUUUAUUGGGCGUAAAGAGCUCGUAGGCGGCUUGUUGCGUCGGCUGUGAAAACCCGCGGCUUAACCGUGGGCUUGCAGUCGAUACUGGCAAGCUCGAGUUCGGUAGAGGGUGACGGAAUUCCCGGUGUAGCGGUGAAAUGCGUAGAUAUCGGGAGGAACAUCGAUGGCGAAGGCAAUCACCUGGGCCUGAACUGACACUGAGACACGAAAGCGUGGGUAGCAAACAGG
This 253-nucleotide ribosomal RNA is filed under the name uncultured bacterium. RNAcentral describes it as "partial 16S ribosomal RNA". It matches the Rfam family "Bacterial small subunit ribosomal RNA", at positions 524 to 776 of the family's 1533-position model. The record is from RNAcentral.